Molecule: ribosomal RNA, 492 nt
Filed under: uncultured bacterium
Lineage: Bacteria
Description: bacterial SSU rRNA
Rfam family: Bacterial small subunit ribosomal RNA
Source: RNAcentral
AUGGCUCAGGAUGAACGCUGGCGGCGUGCUUAACACGUGCAAGUCGAACGGAGAUAAAAAGCGGCUUGCUGCUCUCUAUCGUUAGUGGCGGACGGGUGAGUAACGCGUGGAUAACCUACCUUACACGGGGGAAUAACAGCGAGAAAUCGUUGCUAAUACCCCAUACGUGUAGAUAUCGCAUGAUAUCGACACAAAAACUCCGGUGGUGUAAGAUGGAUCCGCGUCUGAUUAGCUAGUUGGUGAGAUAACAGCUCACCAAGGCAACGAUCAGUAGCCGGCUUGAGAGAGUGACCGGCCACACUGGGACUGAGACACGGCCCAGACUCCUACGGGAGGCAGCAGUGGGGAAUAUUGCACAAUGGGGGAAACCCUGAAUGCAGCGACGCCGCGUGAAGGAAGAAGGUUUUCGGAUCGUAAACUUCUAUCAGCAGGGACGAAGAAAGUGACUGUACCUGACUAAGAAGCCCCGGCUAACUACGUGCCAGCCGCAGC